RNAcentral lists this ribosomal RNA (480 nucleotides) under uncultured bacterium. Its description in RNAcentral is "partial 16S ribosomal RNA". It matches the Rfam family "Bacterial small subunit ribosomal RNA", at positions 28 to 507 of the family's 1533-position model. The record is from RNAcentral.
GACGAACGCUGGCGGCGCGCUUAACACAUGCAAGUCGAGCGAUGAAACUUUAACAGAACCCUUCGGGGCGAAGAUAAGGUGGAUUAGCGGCGGACGGGUUAGUAACACGUGAGUAACCUGCCUUAGACAUUGGGAUAGCCUCGGGAAACCGGGAUUAAUACCAAAUAAAAUCAUAAUGACACAUGUCAUAACGAUCAAAACUCCGGUGGUCUAAGAUGGACGCGCGUCCCAUUAGCUAGUGGGGAGAGUAAAAGCCUACCAAGGCGAGGAUGGGUAGCCGGGCUGUGAGGGAGGACGGCCACAUUGGAACUGAGAAACGGUCCAAACUCCUACGGGAGGGAGCAGUGGGGAAUAUUGCACAAUGGAGGGAACUCUGAUGCAGCGACGCCGCGUGAACGAAGAAGGCUUUCGAGUAGUAAAGUUCGUUUAUAUGGGAAGAUAAUGACGGUACCAUAAGAAAAAGCCCCGGCUAACUACGUG